GUUUGUUUACUAUAUAUGUGGAAUGACAUGUUGGAAGGCCUUUGAUGGACAAUAUGUAACUUUUGCAGGUUUGCAGUAUUUCACAUGUGUGGAUUCAGAGAAAACAAUCCAUUUCUUUGGAGCACCUCUGAAUUUCUUGUCUGCAUUGGGAAUCAUUGGCAAGCUAAAUCUUUGAUAAAAAGUCUGAUACCUGAAGCCCCAGACUGGCACUAGCUAGAAAAGAGAUGCGAUACCAGGUUUCGGCAAAGCUUGCUUGGGUAUCUGAGGAGGUUCUUUUUGAGACAUGAUUUUAUCAAUUGUGGAUGUACCAGUAAGUUCCACUCUGAAUGUCUAAAACCAGGCAAAGUAGUGUUGAUUCUUCAAGAAGUAAAUAUGCAAAAGAAUAGCAGAUUGGAAUUUACAGACAGGUCCCAGAAUCAACUACAGCUUCAGUGGUAAGGUAGCAAAUGAAGAAGACAAUGUAUUUGUACUUGAAAAUUACAUCUUUACCUUGAUCACAGUACUGUGGUGAACCCAUAUUGCAGACUUGACUCUCCAAACGUCCCUUCGAACCACUACAAUCCUUAUUUGGCAAAUACGAACAAUGUGAAAGUAUGGAGAAAAAAUGCUGCAGAUUUAAGUCUUGACAUCACAUUUAAAGGAAGUGAUUUGCUUAUCUGCAGUACCUGUCAUAUUUUGACUUCAUCCUUUCUGAUGAUGAAAAGCAGCAAAGGAAACACAGUAGUCAGAAUGCCAGGUUUUCCAGGUUGGAGAAUUCACAGCAGUAACCGUCUCUACUCUUUGGAUUAUUUUUCUUCCUAA
This 801-nucleotide long non-coding RNA is filed under the name Coturnix japonica (Japanese quail). RNAcentral's name for it is "lncRNA (ENSCJPG00005012438.1)". Lineage: Eukaryota; Metazoa; Chordata; Aves; Galliformes; Phasianidae. The record is from RNAcentral.